RNAcentral lists this long non-coding RNA (334 nucleotides) under Elaeis guineensis (African oil palm). Its description in RNAcentral is "long non-coding RNA (EGUI_LNC017471)". The record is from RNAcentral. Lineage: Eukaryota; Viridiplantae; Streptophyta; Magnoliopsida; Arecales; Arecaceae.
AUCCAUGAAAGACUUUCAGUCCAAUGAUGAUUCAAAAUUGGAGAACUCAAUAGCGACCUGCCUGAGGUGGUACAAUCCAUCUCAGAGCCUACAUGUGGCAAUCUCCUUGAAGGUCCGACAGCCGACCUCCUCAUCCUCAGGAGUCUCGAAUUGGUAGUAUGACUGCAAAUAAAGGAUGGCAUAUAUUAAUAAAUAGAAUACAAAUGUACCAACAAAUAAUAAAUUUAAAAAUUAAACACCUUUGACUUACCAUGAACAUCUCCCACGCAAUGUCAUAAGCCCCCCGAUGGCUAACUGGAGAACCCAUUCAUCGAUCCUGACAUCAAUCGUCGGA